RNAcentral lists this transfer RNA (85 nucleotides) under Nitrososphaerota archaeon. RNAcentral describes it as "Thaumarchaeota archaeon tRNA-Leu". It matches the Rfam family "tRNA". Rfam says of the family: Transfer RNA (tRNA) molecules are approximately 80 nucleotides in length. Their secondary structure includes four short double-helical elements and three loops (D, anti-codon, and T loops). Further hydrogen bonds mediate the characteristic L-shaped molecular structure. tRNAs have two regions of fundamental functional importance: the anti-codon, which is responsible for specific mRNA codon recognition, and the 3' end, to which the tRNAs corresponding amino acid is attached (by aminoacyl-tRNA synthetases). tRNAs cope with the degeneracy of the genetic code in two manners: having more than one tRNA (with a specific anti-codon) for a particular amino acid; and 'wobble' base-pairing, i.e. permitting non-standard base-pairing at the 3rd anti-codon position. Lineage: Archaea; Thermoproteati; Nitrososphaerota. The record is from RNAcentral.
GCGGGGGUCGCCCAGCCCGGUCAACGGCGCGAGGUUCAGGACUUCGUCUCUUAGGAGUUCAUGGGUUCAAAUCCCAUCUCCCGCA